GUUUUUUCAAAAAUCAUAUGGAAUAGAUGAAAUAUAUUUGGUUUAGGCAAGGUGUACAUUUUUUGGUCUGGUUAGUAAUAUCUGACCUUUACAUUAUUUGCAUAAGUCAUUGGUCAAUGAUAAAUUUCUCUGAUUUGGUCUGUUGUUCCGAUUCUAUAAGGAUAGUAUGACUACCGGUACAUUUAAUUUAUUAAAUAAUUGAAAAGUGUGUGCGUCUUUCUGGGAGGUGUCAGUUGAUCUUGACCUUAUUUUCAUGGUUCUUAGUCAACGUUCAAUUAUAUUGAUGUUUGUGUUAGAGCAAAGAAAUCUUAUAUAUAGAUGCACCUAUGGUAGCACUACAAGACCAAA
This 348-nucleotide long non-coding RNA is filed under the name Mytilus galloprovincialis (Mediterranean mussel). Lineage: Eukaryota; Metazoa; Mollusca; Bivalvia; Mytilida; Mytilidae. The record is from RNAcentral.